AACGAACGCUGGCGGCAUGCCUAACACAUGCAAGUCGAACGGGAUCCUAGCUUGCUAGGUGAGAGUGGCGGACGGGUGAGUAACACGUGGGAAUCUGCCUUUUGGUUCGGGAUAACCGCGGGAAACUGCGGCUAAUACCGAAUGCCCUCGAGAGAGGAAAGAUUUAUCGCCAGAAGAGGAGCCCGCGUCCGAUUAGGUAGUUGGUGGGGUAAAGCCUACCAAGCCGACGAUCGGUAGCUGGUCUGAGAGGAUGAUCAGCCACACUGGGACUGAGAUACGGCCCAGACUCCUACGGGAGGCAGCAGUGGGGAAUAUUGGACAAUGGGGCAACCCUGAUCCAGCAAUGCCGCGUGAGUGAUGAAGGCCUUAGGGUU
Molecule: ribosomal RNA, 374 nt
Filed under: uncultured bacterium
Lineage: Bacteria
Description: bacterial SSU rRNA
Rfam family: Bacterial small subunit ribosomal RNA
Source: RNAcentral